Non-coding RNA from Arachis ipaensis, 1624 nucleotides. The record is from RefSeq and is a predicted model, not a curated record. NCBI's taxonomy places the organism in Eukaryota, Viridiplantae, Streptophyta, Magnoliopsida, Fabales, Fabaceae.
UAACCUGAAGGGACACGUUGCGACCGCACGGCGCGUCCGCAUAAAGUCGUUCAUAGCAGAACACACACACACACACCCUUUCACCUUCUGUUUCUUCUUUUUCUUCUUCUUCUUCAAUUUCAAUAACUCCAAAACACAUAAGCCGUUCCAAAACGCUGCGUUUUACUUACAAUAUUCCCAAUUACAAUUCACCCCUAAUCUGAUCACACCUUUUCUUUUUCUUUUUCCGGCGCCACUAUGGCAAUCGCCGGCGGCGCCCACACGCCGCGCUCCGAAGCUAACCUCUUCAGGUUCUGCCCCUUCUGGAGCUCCGGCAACGCUUCUUCUUCUUCUUCUUCUCUAUCUUCUUCAGCUCACAACAACCAUAACCACCGCUCCGAAGGGAACAACACUGCUACUUCUGCUUCUGCGUCUUCUUCUUCUUCUUCUUCUGCCAAAACAGUGUCGGCGGUGGCGAGGUCGCUGUUCCCUCCACGUCGAAGGCUCCGUCUCGAUCCUUCAAGCUGCCUCUACUUUCCAUAUGAACCGGGGAAACAGGUUAGGAGUGCGGUUCGUUUGAAAAACACAAGCAAGUCGUAUGUUGCUUUCAAGGUAUAUUGUUUCUGUGGACUCAUCUGGUGUGUCUCUAAUGUGGCUUCACUGGCUUCAGAAUUUCAAACUACGGCACCAAAGAGUUGUUACAUGAGGCCUCCUGGUGGUAUUAUUGCUCCUGGUGAAAGCUUGAUUGCAACCGUGUUUAAGUUUGUGGAGCAACCUGAGAACAAUGAAAAGAUGUCAGAUCAGAAGAACAAGGUGAAGUUCAAAAUCAUGAGUCUCAAAGUGAAAGAAGGAGUGGACUACGUACCUGAGCUGCCUUGCAUGGAGCAUGGAUUUUAUUUCUUUAAGCCAGGAAAAGAUAACUCAACUCAACAUGGGUUGCUUCUUAAGUUGGCAAUCAGCUUUCUUUGGAGAAUUCGAAGGACUCAUAAUGUGCAGACAUUUCAUUACUGGUUAAUGUAAAUUGGGAAGAGACCUAAACAGUUUGAUAUGAAGGGUUAUAAGUUGAGUUGACUAGAUAUUACUUUUUAUUGUCUGCUUGGACCUUGGAAAAUACAAUCUUGUUUCAAUUGACUUGACGUAUUCUUGCCCUCGGUUUUAUCAUAAAUGGUCAUUAUGGUCACCUUUUUCGGCGAAGGAAAAAGUAUGACCAGAAGAAUUAGAUAGAGGCUGAGAGUAUGUGUAUGGGUCAGAGGAACAGAAACAGAGACUUCACACAAAAUCCAGACUUUAAAAAGAUCCAGAGAUAUAUCUUCACAUGCUUAGAUGACGCUUUUCUGUAAUUCAUGUGUUUGUCAAGCAGUUGUAAUAGGUUAUGUGUUGCUUGAAUGUUGAAAUUCCAUCCCUUUCAGAACCAGUUAAUGUUCAAAAACGGAUUUUCUUGCAGUUUGACGAACAAAAGGAUCUAGUCUCAGUGGAACGAAUCUUGAAGGUUGUAUUUAUUGAUCCAGAAAGGCCUAGUCCUGCUUUGGAAAAACUGAAGAGACAGCUUAAUGAAGCUGAUGCUGCAGUUGAGGCUCGAAAGAAGCCACCUCCUGUGGAGGUGGGUCCUCGUGUUGUAGCUGAAGGACUUGUAAUUGAUGAAUGG